UACAGAGGUCCCAAGCGUUGUUCGGAUUCACUGGGCGUAAAGGGUGCGUAGGUGGUUGUGCAAGUCUGAUGUGAAAUCUCCGGGCUCAACCCGGAAAUGGCAUUGGAAACUGCAUGGCUAGAGGGUUGGAGGGGGGACUGGAAUACUUGGUGUAGCAGUGAAAUGCGUAGAUAUCAAGUGGAACACCAGUGGCGAAGGCGAGUCCCUGGACAACACCUGACACUGAGGCACGAAAGCUAGGGGAGCAAACAGG
This 253-nucleotide ribosomal RNA is filed under the name uncultured bacterium. RNAcentral's name for it is "partial 16S ribosomal RNA". It matches the Rfam family "Bacterial small subunit ribosomal RNA", at positions 524 to 776 of the family's 1533-position model. The record is from RNAcentral.